RNAcentral lists this ribosomal RNA (697 nucleotides) under Syrphocheilosia claviventris. RNAcentral's name for it is "SSU rRNA". It matches the Rfam family "Eukaryotic small subunit ribosomal RNA", at positions 380 to 1007 of the family's 1831-position model. Lineage: Eukaryota; Metazoa; Arthropoda; Insecta; Diptera; Syrphidae. The record is from RNAcentral.
AUUCCGGAGAGGGAGCCUGAGAAACGGCUACCACAUCUAAGGAAGGCAGCAGGCGCGUAAAUUACCCACUCCCAGUUCGGGGAGGUAGUGACGAAAAAUAACAAUACAGGACUCAUAUCCGAGGCCCUGUAAUUGGAAUGAGUACACUUUAAAUCCUUUAACAAGGACCUAUUAGAGGGCAAGUCUGGUGCCAGCAGCCGCGGUAAUUCCAGCUCUAAUAGCGUAUAUUAAAGUUGUUGCGGUUAAAACGUUCGUAGUUGAAUCUGUGCUUCAUACGGGUAGUACAAACCAUAAUUGUGGACUGUACAUUACCUUAUGUAUGCAAGCGUAUUACCGGUGGAGUUCUAAUAUGUAUUGGUGCAUUGUAUCUUUAUGUAUACCUCCUAUUUAAACCUGCUUCAGUGCUCUUCAUCGAGUGUUGUUGUGGGCCGGUACAAUUACUUUGAACAAAUUAGAGUGCUUAAAGCAGGCUCCAAAUGCCUGAAUAUUUUGUGCAUGGAAUAAUGAAAUAAGACCUCUGAUCUACUUUCAUUGGUUUUUAGAUCAAGAGGUAAUGAUUAAUAGAAGCAGUUUGGGGGCAUUAGUAUUACGACGCGAGAGGUGAAAUUCUUGGACCGUCGUAAGACUAACUUAAGCGAAAGCAUUUGCCAAAGAUGUUUUCAUUAAUCAAGAACGAAAGUUAGAGGUUCGAAGGCGA